RNAcentral lists this ribosomal RNA (253 nucleotides) under uncultured bacterium. RNAcentral's name for it is "partial 16S ribosomal RNA". It matches the Rfam family "Bacterial small subunit ribosomal RNA", at positions 524 to 776 of the family's 1533-position model. The record is from RNAcentral.
GACGAACCGUGCAAACGUUAUUCGGAAUCACUGGGCUUAAAGCGUGUGUAGGCGGCGGGCUAAGUACCUUGUGAAAUCCCACGGCUUAACUGUGGAACUGCUGGGUAUACUGGUUCGCUUGAGCGGUCUAGGGGCGAGCGGAACAAAUGGUGGAGCGGUGAAAUGCGUAGAUAUCAUUUGGAACGCCAACGGUGAAAACAGCUCGCUGGGGACCUGCUGACGCUGAGACACGAAAGCCAGGGGAGCGAACGGG